This 229-nucleotide non-coding RNA is filed under the name Syntrophobacter sp. SbD2. The record is from RNAcentral. Lineage: Bacteria; Pseudomonadati; Thermodesulfobacteriota; Syntrophobacteria; Syntrophobacterales; Syntrophobacteraceae.
CAUAGUUUUUUAGCAUCAGGUACAGAAUAACUUUAAUAGGGAAUCCCGUUAAAAUCGGGAGCGGUCCCGCCGCUGUGAACGGGGACGAAAUCCGGUUAAAAUCGGGAGCGGUCCCGCCGCUGUGAACGGGGACGAAAUCCGGUAAGACCACUGUCUUUUAGAGAUGGGAAGGACCGGAGAGUAGGGUGAUCCGUGAGCCAGAAGACCUGCCUGAUGCCGUUUGGUGGAC